AAGUAUUAAUCAAAGGUAAAGAAAUUUAGUAGAGUAAAUUGUAAAAUGCACCAUUUUACAUCUAUAUAAAAUGCACACACAAAAAAAAAUGUAAAAACUACAAACUGCUGUGUCUAUCAACAAAUAUGUGCAAUGCAGAUAACAAUACAAUAUAAAAAGUGAGCAAUAAUGUCUAGUACUCUAUAGUUAGCGAAAUAGCACGGAGAAAAGAAAGGAAUGGUUCAACUACCAUUUCAACAAAAAAGGACAUUUUAGGAAGUAGGUAUGGAUACUUAAAUGCAUGCAUACAUUGUGCAAUCACAUGCUACGUUAUGAAAUGAAGAGAUAUCCUACUGACCACAAGGAAAACCUACCAUACAUUAUCAAUGCUUUGUGAUGGCUGGUGAUCAAGUUUUGUGAAGAUAUUUGUCAUACUCGAACCUUCAAACACAAUUAUGAUAUGCUGCAAAAAGGAAGCACUGUAGGCAUGACCAAGAAGUUCCUAUAAGGCAGUAAAAUUCAUAGGUACAACCUUAACCAUAGUCUGCCGUACCGAUCCGUACCGGCCGGUACGGGCCGGUACGUACCAGUCCGGCCUGGGACCGGUACCGGAUCAACGUGGAAUCCGGUACCGGUAGUUUACUGUUGAAGGACCGGUACGGGACCGGUUCGGACCGGUACGGGACCGGUUCGGACCGGUCCGGGCCGCCACCGGUAUGCCGACCGGUACCGGUAUGGCGGACCUUGACCUUAACCAUCAAUCCUUAGCUACCUAGAUGGAGCAGGCUUUGUUGAUUGAAGUGUUGCCAACAAACAUUUGAGAACCUUUUUCUUUAAGGGAAAAAAAAAACUCUCAAGACGACCAAAACCUUAAUAAAUCAGUCUCAAACUCUUGGCUAAAGCAACUUUAGAGAAAAGAUUGUGCAAGUGGGACCUAGAAAACAUGAUGAUAGAAAGGGUUACGUAUUUUAUCAGUUACACAAUCUAUGCUCGUGCAAUUAGGGGGAAGCCCUCUAACACACACUUCAAAUUCUCAGUAAGUGUAAUAAUUUGAUGAUUAUAUCAUCCCUAUUAAAACCGUCAGAUAAAUCUCAUCUUUGUUAUUUCCUGAUUUGUUA
Molecule: long non-coding RNA, 1097 nt
Filed under: Phoenix dactylifera (date palm)
Lineage: Eukaryota; Viridiplantae; Streptophyta; Magnoliopsida; Arecales; Arecaceae
Description: long non-coding RNA (PDAC_LNC003000)
Source: RNAcentral